RNAcentral lists this ribosomal RNA (253 nucleotides) under uncultured bacterium. Its description in RNAcentral is "partial 16S ribosomal RNA". It matches the Rfam family "Bacterial small subunit ribosomal RNA", at positions 524 to 776 of the family's 1533-position model. The record is from RNAcentral.
UACAGAGGGGGCAAGCGUUAUUCGGAAUUAUUGGGCGUAAAGGGCGCGUAGGCGGCCAUUCAAGUGACGGGUGAAAGCCCUCGGCUUAACCGAGGAACUGCCUGUGAGACUGGAUGGCUUGAGACCGGGAGAGGUGAGUGGAAUUCCCAGUGUAGCGGUGAAAUGCGUAGAUAUCAGGAAGAGCACCCGUGGCGAAGGCGGCUCUCUGGGACGGUACUGACGCUGAGACGCGAAAGCGUGGGGAGCGAACAGG